GAUGAUGACUCCGUUUUUCCUGUGAUCUGACUGGCCCUCCUCCACUUUCUCACCAUCCAAUCCAUCAUGGUUUUGCUCUUUGCCCUUGUGGCUGUCAGAGGGGGAAAAUGGUCCCAGUGGAGACAAGUACGACCUGCCUGAGAGAGAGAUG
Long non-coding RNA from Toxotes jaculatrix (banded archerfish), 151 nucleotides. RefSeq lists it as uncharacterized. Lineage: Eukaryota; Metazoa; Chordata; Actinopteri; Toxotidae. The transcript is spliced from 3 exons. The record is from RefSeq and is a predicted model, not a curated record.